Long non-coding RNA from Helianthus annuus (common sunflower), 314 nucleotides. RefSeq lists it as uncharacterized. Lineage: Eukaryota; Viridiplantae; Streptophyta; Magnoliopsida; Asterales; Asteraceae. The record is from RefSeq and is a predicted model, not a curated record. The transcript is spliced from 4 exons.
UCAAGUUUAAACCCUAAAUUGAAGAUCAAAUCAAGCCCGAAUCGUCUGCAUGAUUACAAAUUCGUGAUCACCUAGUCGUGGGGAUCUCAAGUUUGACGCGUAACAAGCUAGGUGAGAGCUUGGAGGGAGGAGCGGGUCAAACGGAGCAAGCACGGAAAGAAAAGCGUGGCGUGAAUGCGAGGACCAAUUAGCAAAUUGGAUAAUUACGUCACUAUUGAUGGUGUGAUAAUGAAAACGAGGUAUAAAUCGGAUCUACUUAGUGAUCCGGUCCAGGUACAUUUUGGAUGCCGAAAGACGAUCAAGCUCAACGAAGA